Molecule: non-coding RNA, 1730 nt
Organism: Callorhinus ursinus (northern fur seal)
Lineage: Eukaryota; Metazoa; Chordata; Mammalia; Carnivora; Otariidae
Source: the annotation of a RefSeq genome assembly
AGGGGAGAGAUUGCCAAGCAGUCCCCCGCAGGCUAACAGCUCCGUCCCCACCUGGCUGGAAGGCCCUUCAUCUCUCUGACGGGCCCAUCUCAGAGGACAACCCCUGGAAAUCUGGUGACUUUCAACUGUACCGCUGGCCCCUUCAGCUCCCGGGACUUCAAUGUCACCUGGAUGAAGGGCAGACACAAGCAUCCAGCCUCAGCUCAGCAUCUGGUGAUUAACGACAAAGGCGACUAUUCCAUCACCAGUAAGGUGUGGGUGACACUGGCCCGCCAAGAUAUCUUAUUGGGGAUCACCUGCAAAGUCACCCACAGGGUGCCGAAAGAACCCCGGCGAAAGACCAUGAACCUCUCCCAAGGGCUCCAAGUUGUCCCCACCCUGAAGAUCACUACCAAGACCUCUGGGACGCACAUCCAUGUGCAUCAGAGAGUGAAUCUCACCUGCCACGCGAGCCACUUCUACCCCUCCCACCUACGUCUUACGUGGAUGGAGAACAGACACAAGGUCCAGACAGUGGAGUCCCCACAGGUCACAAGAAACCCAGAUGGGACCUAUUCUCUGGAGCACACGUGGCUGGCAGAGGCCGCGCUGGAGGGGAGAGAGUUUGCCUGCUGGGUGGUCCAGGAUGAGCAGCCCCCAGUCCAGGCCAACAUCACCCUGUGGGCCCAGGAGCCCAGGUUGGGGAAAGGCCGGAGCACCCACUCUUCCUCCUUGCAAGGCCCCCUCCAGCGAUCGGAGCCAGGCACAAGCAUCCAGCUGACCUACAUGUCCUCCGGAUUCCCCUCACGUCAGGUGACCAUGACCUGGCUGAAGAAGAACCUCGAGCUCCUCAAGUGGCAGACGCAGGUCCACGCCAAUGGAGACACAUAUAAUGUGACCAGCAGAGUGCUCGUCCCGCUGCGGGCUGAUGAUGCGCUCUCCUUUGUCCAGUGCCACGUGGAUCACAAGUCCAUACCGGUGUUCCAGAAAACCAUCAGCCUGAACCGGUACCUCCGCGUUUCCCCUACAGUGACAGUGUCCCAGUCUUCAUCGUCCUCGGACUUGGUGGCUAUUACCUGCCAUGUGCAGAGAUUCUAUCCACAGAGUGUGCAUCUCACUUGGAUAGAGAACUGUCAUAUCUUCAAGGAAGCCAAGCAAUUCACAUCCAAACAGAAUAGUGAUGGGACCUACACCUUGGAAAGCUUGCAUUUGGUGAAUGUGUCAGGGCAGGGAUCUGAGCGGGUGCUCACCUGUAAAGUGCAGCAUGAGGCACAACCUCCCAUUCAGGCCAACCUCAUACUGUCCACGGCAGCCCAUGGCAUAUACAAGCCCAUUGGAAGCUCAGGUCCACAGAUGCCUGUCCUUAUGUUUGUGGCUUUCCUUCUGGGCUUCAAGGUGCUGCUGGUGAUGAGUUUCAUAAUGACCUACAUCUGCAGGUGGCAGAACCUGUAACAGGCUGAAAUGUCAGAGAGAAGUGAUUGCAGCCCUGACCUGAUGGCCCACAAGCAUAAAACAUUUACCGUCUGGCCGUCUAAGAAAAAGCUUGCCAACACCAGAGAGACAAUAUUUAAAUAACUCUAACAACAAAAUACUAAGAAGAUGGACAAUCACAUUUUUUAUGUGCAUAAAAAAUUUGAUCAGAUGCUCCACCGAAGAACAUAUAUGAGCAUCAAUGAGACUUUUGCUGAUGCAAAAUGUAUUUGUUUUUAAAAACUGCUCUGUGCUAAUUAGACAGCUUUAUAAUAAGUUUU